Molecule: long non-coding RNA, 672 nt
Filed under: Ananas comosus (pineapple)
Lineage: Eukaryota; Viridiplantae; Streptophyta; Magnoliopsida; Poales; Bromeliaceae
Description: long non-coding RNA (ACOM_LNC008079)
Source: RNAcentral
CCUGCAAAGGGUUUUCCACGUAAAUCUGUGUCUCUUUAUUUUUCUGCUUGUGGUUUGAUUUUUUUUUGUGUUCGUCAUUUCGUUUCCGUUUGUGCGUUUGUCGUAACAAUACAUAUACCUAUAUAUUAUUUUUCUUAAAUUUUUGCUACGUGGUGAAUCCUCUUUCACCGUUGGCUUUCAUCUUUCUAUUCCCAUAUCCAUCCAAUACUUCAUCUUUUUGACUCCACCUCUCAAUUAAUGUAUUUAUAUAGUUCCAUCUUUAUCCAAUGCUUUAUCUUCCUAACCCUCACCUCUUUACAUGAUCCUAUUUCAAUCCAAUGCUUUAUCUUUCUAACCCCCACUUCUUAGUAACGUGUUUACAUUGUUUCAUCUCGAAUCCAAUGCUUCAUUUUUCUAAUUUCUACCUCUCAAUUGCUUUCAUAAGAACAAAUGAGUAAAAUAAAAUUUCUUCAUAUUUCGAUGUCGAUUGUGCGAUGAAGGUGUGUAUGAGGUAGAAAUUUUUUUAUUACUUUUUUCAUUAUUAUUAUAUGUGAUUUAUUUAUCAAAAUUAUAAAUUUUGCUAUAUCUAUAUCUAUAUUUGUUUUAUAUUUUAUAUUUGUGUUUAUUGAAGUCUCAUGUCAAAUCAAAAAAUUUAAAGCUUUUAUUUUAUUUAUAUUUUAUCUUUUAUAGUAU